UACGGAGGAUGCAAGCGUUAUCCGGAUUUAUUGGGUUUAAAGGGUGCGCAGGUUGUUUGAUAAGUCAGUGGUGAAAGUCUGUCGCUUAACGGUAGGAUUGCCAUUGAUACUGUUAGACUUGAAUAUGGAUGAGGUAGGCGGAAUGUGUAGUGUAGCGGUGAAAUGCAUAGAUAUUACACAGAACACCGAUUGCGAAGGCAGCUUACUAAACUACUACUGACGCUCAUGCACGAAGGCGUGGGGAUCAAACAGGA
Molecule: ribosomal RNA, 254 nt
Filed under: uncultured prokaryote
Description: partial 16S ribosomal RNA
Rfam family: Bacterial small subunit ribosomal RNA
Source: RNAcentral